GACGAACGCUGGCGGCGUGCUUAACACAUGCAAGUCGAGCGGAAAGGCCCUUCGGGGUACUCGAGCGGCGAACGGGUGAGUAACACGUGAGUAACCUGCCCCAGACUUUUGGAUAACCCUCGGAAACGGGGGCUAAUACCGGAUACGACACAGCUUCGCAUGGGGUCUGUGUGGAAAGUUUUUCGGUUUGGGAUGGGCUCGCGGCCUAUCAGCUUGUUGGUGGGGUGAUGGCCUACCAAGGCGACGACGGGUAGCCGGCCUGAGAGGGCGACCGGCCACACUGGGACUGAGACACGGCCCAGACUCCUACGGGAGGCAGCAGUGGGGAAUAUUGCACAAUGGGCGGAAGCCUGAUGCAGCGACGCCGCGUGAGGGAUGACGGCCUUCGGGUUGUAAACCUCUUUCAGCAGGGACGAAGCGUAAGUGACGGUACCUGCAGAAGAAGCGCCGGCAAACUACGUG
RNAcentral lists this ribosomal RNA (462 nucleotides) under uncultured bacterium. Its description in RNAcentral is "partial 16S ribosomal RNA". It matches the Rfam family "Bacterial small subunit ribosomal RNA", at positions 28 to 507 of the family's 1533-position model. The record is from RNAcentral.